Molecule: ribosomal RNA, 550 nt
Filed under: uncultured bacterium
Lineage: Bacteria
Description: bacterial SSU rRNA
Rfam family: Bacterial small subunit ribosomal RNA
Source: RNAcentral
UAGGGAAUCUUCCACAAUGGACGCAAGUCUGAUGGAGCAACGCCGCGUGAGUGAAGAAGGGUUUCGGCUCGUAAAGCUCUGUUGGUAGUGAAGAAAGAUAGAGGUAGUAACUGGCCUUUAUUUGACGGUAAUUACUUAGAAAGUCACGGCUAACUACGUGCCAGCAGCCGCGGUAAUACGUAGGUGGCAAGCGUUGUCCGGAUUUAUUGGGCGUAAAGCGAGUGCAGGCGGUUCAAUAAGUCUGAUGUGAAAGCCUUCGGCUCAACCGGAGAAUUGCAUCAGAAACUGUUGAACUUGAGUGCAGAAGAGGAGAGUGGAACUCCAUGUGUAGCGGUGGAAUGCGUAGAUAUAUGGAAGAACACCGGUGGCGAAAGCGGCUCUCUGGUCUGUAACUGACGCUGAGGCUCGAAAGCGUGGGGAGCGAACAGGAUUAGAUACCCUGGUAGUCCACGCCGUAAACGAUGAGUGCUAGGUGUUAGGUCCUUUCCGGGACUUAGUGCCGCAGCUAACGCAUUAAGCACUCCGCCUGGGGAGUACGACCGCAAGGUUG